Dermacentor albipictus is the source of this 868-nucleotide long non-coding RNA. RefSeq lists it as uncharacterized. NCBI's taxonomy places the organism in Eukaryota, Metazoa, Arthropoda, Arachnida, Ixodida, Ixodidae. The record is from RefSeq and is a predicted model, not a curated record.
CACGCACCGCCACUGGUCAGACGCCAUCACCCCGGCGCCGCUGUCGUUCGUCGAGCGCCCCGAUUAGGGAGACCGUUAAGAGACGGCGCGCUCUCCCGCUUCUCGCGCGCGUCCUCCCCUGCCUCGCGGCAAUUUUGCUGCUUUGUACCGCUUGUGAAGGUGCUCUCAUAUCGUCUGUGUAUAUGGAAUUGCUCUCGUCAAUCAGCGGAGCCUGCUCAGUGGCGCUGGCAUCGCCGCUACCAGUCACAGCAGUAUCAAUCAGUGCAACGAAGAUCACGGGAAGCGACGCUAUCGUACUGGAUAAACCAAUGCUACUCUCGUCACCAAGGGGCUUCACCACGUCAUCAAUGAGCCCUAUAAAAGAACCGCUGUUCAUCGACUACACCAGUGGGCAAGGCGCAAGCGCCACGAACGCAUCGUUCACCAUGCGUGUACUUCUCGUACAGGUUGGUUAUUGCCAUUUAGUACGCACCGCCAAAUGGUUUCUUGUCCUUCUGCCAUGCCCACGCAGAUGUUAGCGUAUUGCAUAUCAUUAUUUAUGCGUAUGUAAAACUUGUUUUGUGCGGUGAUGUCGAGGAGAAUCUCGGGCCACCGGUGGAUGAUAUGUUCAAAUCUAUAAUGGAUGGCCAACAGGUUAUUCUAUCUGAGACAAAUGAGCUGAAAUCAUGUCUUGAAGCUACACAAAAGGCUAUAAAUGGUUUUGGAAUACGGUUAGUUAACCUGGAGGGCAAAGUGCAAACGCUGCAACUCAAGGCUUCCGCAAUUUAAGGUAUCGGCGCAUCUAUGGAAGCUAUGCAACAGACGCUAAAAUCGCAACAAACGGAACUUGUGGACCUAGAACAUCGCAGCCGUAGGUCUAACCUGGUGA